UGGGGGAUAUUGCACAAUGGGCGCAAGCCUGAUGCAGCGACGCCGCGUGUGGGAUGAAGGCCUUCGGGUUGUAAACUUCUUUUGCUCUGAACAAGGCGCACUUUGGGGUGUGUUGAGUGUAGGGGUUGAUUAGCGCCGGCUAACUACGUGCCAGCAGCCGCGGUAAUACGUAGGGCGCGAGCGUUGUCCGGAAUUAUUGGGCGUAAAGGGCUUGUAGGUGGCUGGUUGCGUCUGUCGUGAAAGCUCAUGGCUUAACUGUGGGUUUGCGGUGGGUACGGGCUGGCUUGAGUGCAGUAGGGGAGGCUGGAAUUCCUGGUGUAGCGGUGGAAUGCGCAGAUAUCAGGAGGAAUACCGGUGGCGAAGGCGGGUCUCUGGGCUGUUACUGACACUGAGGAGCGAAAGCAUGGGGAGCGAACAGG
RNAcentral lists this ribosomal RNA (419 nucleotides) under bacterium. RNAcentral's name for it is "partial 16S ribosomal RNA". It matches the Rfam family "Bacterial small subunit ribosomal RNA", at positions 355 to 776 of the family's 1533-position model. The record is from RNAcentral.